CGCGCGCACCAACACGCACGCCCAGCGCCUCACGAUCGCGGCCCCAGGCCACAGACGAAAGCUAGAUGCGAACCCGCACCAGGGGUUCCCAGAAUUGGAAGGACAGUGACAUCGUACCUCCUCUCCAGUUAACGGAGCCCUCAAGUCUUUUAACCUUCUCCGGUCUCCCCGCCCUGUCUCUCAUCUCCACUCCUUGCUCUUACCGGUGGUCAGCUCUUCUCCAGGAACGCUGAACCCGGAGAUAGCAGGACUUCAGACCCUCUUCCCAUCCCCACCCUUCAGAGUGACCAGCACCCACCCCUUCUUCAGUGGAGAAUUGAAGUGCCCGCAGCACCUCACCAAGGAGCAAGGGACUCCCCGACAUCCUUUGAAUCGAGGAAUCUUGACACCAUUUCCUGGACAGAAUUUCCUUGCGACAUUCCCUCCUGCCCAUUCCAUAACUUUGUCUCAAAGAGCUCCUGAAGUUCACUUAGGUGGUUUUGCAAAGAACUGACCAGGGACUUGUGUCGGCCAGCUUUUGGAUCAGGACUAAAUUUCGGGUUCUACGCUUUUAUUAAAAACUGGAUGGUAGCGAGCGAAAGAGUCAGAUGGAGAAAGAGGAGGAACUGGAAGCCUGGCGAUCCAGCCCAUUUCAUUUCCCUUUCCAGUAUUUUGGCAAAAGCAGUGGUGUAGGUCUCCUGGUAGCUCCUGUGGCAACUUUGCCCUCAAGGCAGAGGUCCCUGUGUUCUGUGCAGCUAGGCGCGCUAAACCAGAUAAUCUUUACUCGGUGAAGCUGUCAGAAUCCGCCACAAGUCCCUGCUAGGAAUCCAUCCUCUGGAAGUUUGUCUUGCCUGGACUGGAGAGCAGGAAUUCAUUGCUACCAGGGGGGAAAAAAUGGAAAGUAAACUUUUGCCACGACGGUUUCUUUGAUUUUUAUUUUGUUAUUUUAUUUGAACCCUGAUUCUCCUUUAUGCUCCGCGCUCAAGUUCAGCAAAGCUUUACUGUGAGGAUUCUGCUUCCCAAGUACUGGAAAGGCUGGAUGGCAGUGAGUUUCUCUUCCAGGCUCUUCACUAAAUCUCUGUGGGUUCAGACAGAAAAAGAAAAGUGAAGCGGCGGCAUAGAGAUGGCGCUAGGACCCUUUGCAGGAGGGACUGCGCCACUCCCCCGCUGUCUCCAUGAGAGCUUCUUCUCUGAAGAUCCAGGGUAUUUUGAGUGGCCCUUUUCCCUUUGAGUUGGAAGCUGACUGACUGAGAAUGAGAAAAUACAGUAUUUUGAGCGCUUGAAGGGGAAAUCGUAGGUUGCGAAAGUGGAAGAGAAGAGAAUUUUGAGCAAAAGAAGAAACUUAAGUUGGUAGGAGCUGCAGCAAAGCUAUUCAUUGCCUGAGUAGCAAAACAGGGUAAGGUAAGCUGGCAGCAGCACCCAGGGCCCCUAACGUCAUUCAGAAAGCAGGGGUGCAGUAUGAAUUUCUUGAGUGAGUCGGCUUUAGACCCUGUGUGAGAGAACCAGGCAGAGUCGUUUUCCGAGCGAGAUUCUUGUCAAGUUUGGGGAUGAUGGAUCCAUGGAAACUGUCCCGCGGCGUGAGUGAACCACAAGCCUUUUGCUCUGCUGCAGAGUCUGCAUGUUUGAGUUCAAGGCUGGUUUUCCUUCUGGUGCAGUGAAGGCAAGAGCUAGAAGCUAGCUCAGGGAACCUAGUUAACCUCUGUUGAUAGGAAGAGUCUGAGCCUUGGUUAGUGGAGUCCCAUUCCAUGACUGGAGUGACCUCUGUUCAUUGUCAUUAAUUACUGUGAUGAAAACCAAUGAAGAGCACAGAUGUCAGGUAUCUUAAAUCUGGGAUCCAGUGACAAGAAAAUAACCAAAGAAUCAAGAGUGAAAGUGAAUUGGUAACCUCUUCUUUCUUGUUAAAAUUCAACAACAAUCCUAAUAUCUGUCUUUUGGCUAUAGACACCUACGAAGAAAGGAGUAUCUUGGCAACUCGUUCACUGGAGGAGACAUCUGUGUUUCCUUUGGACUAUGGUGUGAUAUAGUUAUAACAUAUUUAACAUAGCCUUAAAUUGUUUCAAAAGAAAUAUAUUCAGAUUUGCAUGAAGUUAUAGCCACGUAGAAUAUGUUAAUAUUCUGACCAUGUUACAUCAUUAUUCUUUUGUUACAUCAUUGACCAUAUUUAGGUGCUUAUAUUUCAAAAUAAAUCUGUGCAUAGGAAACUAGGGAACCCUGUAUGAAUAUCUGCAUAUAUGUCCUAUAUAUCCUAUAUGGCAACAUUAAGAAGACUCAGUGUUACCAAGAAUAGGAUUAAUGUGCAAAGUAGAUAAAAUAUAACCAGAGCUCAUGUUCCAAAAAAAUUGUUGUUUCCUUGGUAUAUAGAGUUUUAGUAAUACAGACUUAACCACAAAGAAUGGUCUAUUAAUUUUUUCAAAGGUGUUUGAUAAUUUUAAAUAGUUUACUAACACUCCUUUAGCCUCACCCCACCCCACCCCCACCACAGAACAAGCAAACAAAAACUACUGAAAGGAAAAGUACUGAUUACAGAGAAGAUAGGAGUGUUGUAUGCCCUCUCCUAAAGGAUGCCGUCUGCAGAAGAAGCCUCCAUACCCUGCACUCCAGGCUUAAAAAGGUCUUGAAACCUAUGAAAUACAUCAUGAAAACAAAUGUAUAUUUUCUUUUAUUCUAACCCUAGUCUAUGGUGUCAUCAUUUGUCCAAUUCUACCUGUGUCUUUCUUGCUGCUCAUCAAGUUCUGACUUGUUUUUCUCCUUUUUUUUUCCCCUGCUUCAUUUCACCCAUCCACAUAUAGCUAGAGAAAAAUUUAAAAGUUCUAAACCAGAUUACACCGUGUCUAUUCCUAUUUCAUUAAAUUAUAGUUAAUCUUACCUUCCUUUUAUGCCCAUGUAAUGCAAGGUCCUUAUUCUACAGCCUGGAGUAAUUCUCCCCAGUCUUUUGACUUAAUGCCUUGCUGAUCUGCUGUAAGUAGAAAAACACCCUUUGCAAACUACAUUUCUCCCAAUUACCAAGGGUACAUCAUUCUAUAUAAUUUUUAAAUUAAUUUAUUUUUCUAAUUUGUAGAUGAUGAUUUUAAUUUAUCUCCCACAAUAGAAUCUAAUAUCAAAGGCAGAGACUUUGGUCACUUUUGUUUAUUUUUUAAUCAAAUGUAAUUUAUUUUCUAAAAGUAACUGAGUAAGAAAUCAUUUCUUCAUAAUUGUAAAGUCGCCCUAGUGACAUCAUUACAGGCAAACUAAUAUGUUUAUGAAACAAAAAUACACAAGUAUUGAUUCUUCAAGUCAUUAUAAGUAGUCGAUGUGACAUGGUCUUUUAAAAACAGUUGCAGUGUGUAAAAAGGCAGGUGUUUAUAAUUCACACUUUAACAAGUUGCCAAGGUAUCGAUGGAGUAUUCCAGCACUCUAAUAAUUGUAUAGAUUCUCAGCAAGCAACACAUGGGGACAUAGUGAGAUGUAUCAUUGUGACAUUACUUUAGUCUAGAAGCCAAGCUGAAUAGUACAUACUGACAAGGUGCUUUAAAAGGACAUUAUUUCAGAAGGAUGGAAGACUAAACCUGCCUAAAUAUUAAUAAAUAUGCCACUAACUGUACAAAGUCAUUUUUGAAACCUUGUCUUUACAAUUUUACAAGCUGAACAAUGUACAAAUUAAUAACUCAAUACAGAAAUUUGCCUAACGCACUAUGUCAAGGCUGAAAUUAUACUGAAAAAUUAUACUGUGGAUGGUUGUUUAGACUUAUCAAAGACAAAAAGAGCUUUGCAUAUCUUGAGGAAGCAGAGACAGCAAAGAGGACAAUUCUUCAAUACAUUGCUAGGGGAACCCCAUUAUUUCAGAAUGGAGUGUGAAACCAUACUCAAGAAUACUUACUCCUAGCACUGUGUUUUAAAUAGGUAUAUUGGACAGUUACCCUAUGUACUUUUUUAAUUUAAUUUUUAUUUUUGUCAGAAGACAAUACAAAAUAUGUUUUCCUUAAUAUUUAAUGUGCUAGAUUUAUGAGAAUUUGGUAGCAUAAAUAUCUAAUACUCAAUAUAAUCAGAUAGUCAGUUUAAGAUUAGGAGAGGAAGGAGGGAGCUCGGAGGAAUUUUCAUAGGUUGCCUCAUGACAUUAUAAUCCAUUAGAAGCCAGGCCAUUUGCACUGCCUUAGUUGAGACUCUCACUGCCAUUGGGUGAUUGAUUUGAUGGACAUAAGUUAACUGGCCCAGAUCCUAAAGAGCAUGCAGUGUUGAUAUCAGUGCUCAGUCAGAAGAAAAAUUGGGAAGUGUGUGUCUUUAUGAGUCUCACAUCAUCAAAUACAGCUAAUACAUACUGCUGUUUAUGUGCUUUAUCCAAGAAUCCCUUGAUACUACUUGGAGUUAAAAGAUGCUCAAAAAGACUACGAACAAUCAACUGAGAAGUGUAGAGAGCUGCAUGCAGCCGCGCCUUAAAGAUGGCGCCGGCUCCG
Long non-coding RNA from Onychomys torridus (southern grasshopper mouse), 4409 nucleotides. RefSeq lists it as uncharacterized. NCBI's taxonomy places the organism in Eukaryota, Metazoa, Chordata, Mammalia, Rodentia, Cricetidae. The transcript has 3 exons. The record is from RefSeq and is a predicted model, not a curated record.